Long non-coding RNA from Brienomyrus brachyistius, 3166 nucleotides. RefSeq lists it as uncharacterized. The transcript is spliced from 3 exons. Lineage: Eukaryota; Metazoa; Chordata; Actinopteri; Osteoglossiformes; Mormyridae. The record is from RefSeq and is a predicted model, not a curated record.
ACUUCACUUUAACUUGUUCCCAUGUCCUGCAUGAUUGUGCUUCUAUUUGCUCUGUAAUUAUGACAAUAAAAGAAUAAUGAAAAAUUGGAAACGUAACACUCUCAGGCUGCCUGCCCUGCAUGCGCAGCUGGGCCAGUUAUGCGGCUGCAGAUAAGAGGUCAGGUGUGUUCCUCUGCCAGACUCUGCUCCCUCAGGCCCUGUCAGCUCUCAGGCUGUCUGCCCUGCAUGCACAGCUGGUCCAGUUAUGCGGCUGCAGAUAAGAGGUCAGGUGUGUUCCUCUGUCAGACUCUGCCCCACUAGGCCCUGUCAGCUCUCAGGCUGCCUGCCCUGCAUGCGCAGCUGGGCCAGUUAUGCAGCUGCAAGCUGCAGAUAAGAGGUCAGGUGUGUUCCUCUGUCAGACUCUGCCCCCCCAGGCCCUGUCAGCUCUCAGGCUGCCUGCCCUGCAUGCGCAGCUGGGCCAGUUAUGCGGCUGCAGAUAAGAGGUCAGGUGUGUUCCUCUGUCAGACUCUGCCCCACUAGGCCCUGUCAGCUCUCAGGCUGCCUGCCCUGCAUGCGCAGCUGGGCCAGUUAUGCAGCUGCAGAUAAGAGGUCAGGUGUGUUCCUCUGCCAGACUCUGCCCCGCCAGGCCCUGUCAGCUCUCAGGCUGCCUGCCCUGCAUGCGCAGCUGGGCCAGUUAUGCAGCUGCAAGCUGCAGAUAAGAGGUCAGGUGUGUUCCUCUGUCAGACUCUGCCCCCCCAGGCCCUGUCAGCUCUCAGGCUGCCUGCCCUGCAUGCGCAGCUGGGCCAGUUAUGCAGCUGCAGAUAAGAGGUCAGGUGUGUUCCUCUGCCAGACUCUGCCCCGCCAGGCCCUGUCAGCUCUCAGGCUGCCUGCCCUGCAUGCGCAGCUGGGCCAGUUAUGCGGCUGCAGAUAAGAGGUCAGGUGUGUUCCUCUGCCAGACUCUGCUCCCUCAGGCCCUGUCAGCUCUCAGGCUGUCUGCCCUGCAUGCACAGCUGGUCCAGUUAUGCGGCUGCAGAUAAGAGGUCAGGUGUGUUCCUCUGUCAGACUCUGCCCCACUAGGCCCUGUCAGCUCUCAGGCUGCCUGCCCUGCAUGCGCAGCUGGGCCAGUUAUGCAGCUGCAGAUAAGAGGUCAGGUGUGUUCCUCUGUCAGACUCUGCCCCCCCAGGCCCUGUCAGCUCUCAGGCUGCCUGCCCUGCAUGCGCAGCUGGGCCAGUUAUGUGGCUGCAGAUAAGAGGUCAGGUGUGUUCCUCUGCCAGACUCUGCCCCGCCAGGCCCUGUCAGCUCUCAGGCUGCCUGCCCUACAUGCGCAGCUGGGCCAGUUAUGCGGCUGCAGAUAAGAGGUCAGGUGUGUUCCUCUGCCAGACUCUGCCCCGCCAGGCCCUGUCAGCUCUCAGGCUGCCUGCCCUGCAUGCGCAGCUGGGCCAGUUAUGUGGCUGCAGAUAAGAGGUCAGGUGUGUUCCUCUGCCAGACUCUGCCCCAUCAGGCCCUGUGAGCUCUCAGGCUGUCUGCCCUGCAUGCGCAGCUGGGCCAGUUAUGCAGCUGCAGAUAAGAGGUCAGGUGUGUUCCUCUGCCAGACUCUGCCCCGCCAGGCCCUGUCAGCUCUCAGGCUGCCUGCCCUACAUGCGCAGCUGGGCCAGUUAUGCGGCUGCAGAUAAGAGGUCAGGUGUGUUCCUCUGCCAGACUCUGCCCCGCCAGGCCCUGUCAGCUCUCAGGCUGCCUGCCCUACAUGCGCAGCUGGGCCAGUUAUGCGGCUGCAGAUAAGAGGUCAGGUGUGUUCCUCUGCCAGACUCUGCCCCGCCAGGCCCUGUCAGCUCUCAGGCUGCCUGCCCUGCAUGCGCAGCUGGGCCAGUUAUGUGGCUGCAGAUAAGAGGUCAGGUGUGUUCCUCUGCCAGACUCUGCCCCAUCAGGCCCUGUGAGCUCUCAGGCUGUCUGCCCUGCAUGCGCAGCUGGGCCAGUUAUGCAGCUGCAGAUAAGAGGUCAGGUGUGUUCCUCUGCCAGACUCUGCCCCGUCAGACCCUGUCAGCUCUCAGGCUGUCUGCCCAACAUGCGCAGCUGGGCCAGUUAUGCGGCUGCAGAUAAGAGGUCAGGUGUGUUCCUCUGCCAGACUCUGUCCCCUCAGGCCCUGUCAGCUCUCAGGCUGCCUGCCCUGCAUGCGCAGCUGGGCCAGUUAUGCAGCUGCAGAUAAGAGGUCAGGUGUGUUCCUCUGCCAGACUCUGCCCUCUCAGGCCCUGUCAGCUCUCAGGCUGCCUGCCCUACAUGCGCAGCUGGGCCAGUUAUGCGGCUGCAGAUAAGAGGUCAGGUGUGUUCCUCUGCCAGACUCUGCCCCGCCAGGCCCUGUCAGCUCUCAGGCUGUCUGCCCUGCAUGCACAGCUGGUCCAGUUAUGCGGCUGCAGAUAAGAGGUCAGGUGUGUUCCUCUGUCAGACUCUGCCCCACUAGGCCCUGUCAGCUCUCAGGCUGCCUGCCCUGCAUGCGCAGCUGGGCCAGUUAUGCAGCUGCAGAUAAGAGGUCAGGUGUGUUCCUCUGCCAGACUCUGCCCCGCCAGGCCCUGUCAGCUCUCAGGCUGCCUGCCCUGCAUGCGCAGCUGGGCCAGUUAUGUGGCUGCAGAUAAGAGGUCAGGUGUGUUCCUCUGCCAGACUCUGCCCCAUCAGGCCCUGUGAGCUCUCAGGCUGUCUGCCCUGCAUGCGCAGCUGGGCCAGUUAUGCAGCUGCAGAUAAGAGGUCAGGUGUGUUCCUCUGCCAGACUCUGCCCCGCCAGGCCCUGUCAGCUCUCAGGCUGCCUGCCCUGCAUGCGCAGCUGGGCCAGUUAUGCGGCUGCAGAUAAGAGGUCAGGUGUGUUCCUCUGCCAGACUCUGUCCCCUCAGGCCCUGUCAGCUCUCAGGCUGCCUGCCCUGCAUGCGCAGCUGGGCCAGUUAUGCGGCUGCAGAUAAGAGGUCAGGUGUGUUCCUCUGCCAGACUCUGUCCCCUCAGGCCCUGUCAGCUCUCAGGCUGCCUGCCCUGCAUGCGCAGCUGGGCCAGUUAUGUGGCUGCAGAUAAGAGGUCAGGUGUGUUCCUCUGCCAGACUCUGCCCUCUCAGGCCCUGUCAGCUCUCAGGCUGCCUGCCCUACAUGCGCAGCUGGGCCAGUUAUGCAGCUGCAGAUAAGAGGUCAGGUGUGUUCCUCUGCCAGACUCU